UACGAAGGGGGCUAGCGUUGCUCGGAAUCACUGGGCGUAAAGCGCACGUAGGCGGAUCUUUAAGUCAGGGGUGAAAUCCCGAGGCUCAACCUCGGAACUGCCUUUGAUACUGGGAAUCUCGAGUCCGGGAGAGGUGAGUGGAACUGCGAGUGUAGAGGUGAAAUUCGUAGAUAUUCGCAAGAACACCAGUGGCGAAGGCGGCUCACUGGCCCGAUACUGACGCUGAGGUGCGAAAGCGUGGGGAGCAAACAGGG
Molecule: ribosomal RNA, 254 nt
Filed under: uncultured bacterium
Lineage: Bacteria
Description: partial 16S ribosomal RNA
Rfam family: Bacterial small subunit ribosomal RNA
Source: RNAcentral